This is a non-coding RNA of Lolium perenne, 2118 nucleotides long. NCBI's taxonomy places the organism in Eukaryota, Viridiplantae, Streptophyta, Magnoliopsida, Poales, Poaceae. The record is from RefSeq and is a predicted model, not a curated record.
CACACAGCUGAGGGCUUUUUUUUGGUUGGAUCUAGCGGAGGAGGUGAGAGGCUGCUGCAGCAGCACGUAGAAGAUGCACGGGUCUGGGCUUCAUCUACUUUGUUUCAAGAUUUAUUUCAUCUACUUUUCAUGAAUAAAAACAGAUAUUGAGGACAUUUUCCUUAACAAGAUGUGUUGCUGAUCCAACAUCUGUGCAUUAUUCAAUGGGGUUGAAUCUUUGAACUGUUAUUUUUCACGCUUUGUUCUCAGUCAGUCAAAGGUGGAGAGCUGACUCAUGAUGAAACUACUAUCAUUACCAAAGCUUUGUAGAUGAUCCGAAAGAAUGUUGUGACUCCCAUAUCGGAGAUGAACAUAGCCAUUAGUGCUUUAUAGGCAGCUUGCACAUAAGUCAAUUUCUGUAAGAUGUAACAAGAUUAUGCAAAAGCCAUGAGCAGUACAAGUUUGGUAAUUUGUUUUCAUAUGUUGUGGGCAUUAUUGGUGUUGUUCAUCAUCCAGGAAUGGGUGAUGAGGAGCUUGCUUCAAUCGGAUAAAGAAUGUUUCUUCGGUGCUGACCUUUCUUUAAUCUGUAUAGACACGAUUUUAAAACAGAGUUGGCAAUGGAAGUUGAGGUGAUUAAUUAUGCGUUCGGAAAGAGAUCACAACUUGCUAAGUUGGUUGUAUUGUCUUCAACAUGGGUUGUUUAUUUGUUCUAAAGGAAUAUCAUGUACUUCUAAUUAUGGUAGAUGUGAGAACAAAACUGUAACUUAUAAAUUCAGAAUUACCCAACUUGAUUGCAUAACUGGACUGAAGUUUUAGAGACAGGAACUUUUACAGCUUCUUGAUUACAGUUAGAUUGAAUGUUGCUAGGUUUUUAGGCUAUGCAAUCUACUUUUAGUAUGCACGUGUCUUAUGCAAACAGAGAAGGGAAAAAACAUGGGCUAUAUCUUUCAAAAAUUUAUUUUCCAUGUGCUCUCAUACUUUUUACAUGAAGCUUGAAGAAAAACUGAACGAAGGUUCCCUACUAUAAACUCGGUUAUUAAUUUUGUAGAAAAACAUUUAGCCCAUAUGACUUCCAGACUUACUGAUAUCCUUAUUAAAUGUAUAAUCAUGUGAUGAGGUUUCACCAUUCAAGCUUUUCCGUCCUGGUAUUACUUUUAAAACUGUAUACUUUUCUAGCAACUUAAAGUUUCACAAUGAAUAAAAUCAUAUUAAUUCAUCUCAUUGGUGGACAUCUUACGUUUCUGAUUUGCGACCUCAUAGCCUGCUCGCAUAGUUCUUUCUUCUUCAGUUUCUUUGUUAGUUUCUCAGAUUAUAAAUAAUAUCAAUGUGCACCCCAAUGUUCUCGAUGCAAUUAAUUCUGUUCUACCCCAAUUCCUGAACGUAUUCUACAUGAUGCAUGGGAGAUGCACGGAGUCAUUACAAGUUUUUUUUUCUUUUGCUCACGCGCCUUAUUAAUGGCUUAAGCCAUCUGUAGGCUUUCACUUUCAUUUCUUUUGUUGCAACAAGUACAAAUUGGUUUGAUGUUCUUAGUGAAGAGGAACCAUUUUGUUACUAUGCUAGAAUUACUAAUAUUCAUUACUCCUCAACUUCUGAUAAAUAAUUCCCUAUACGAUUGAGAGGUGCAACGGUUGCCCAGAUGGUGUCGUGUUUUCUUCAGAAAAAACAGUACACGACUGACCAAGGUAUCUCAGACCUCCUUGGCCUGUUCAUUCCACCUAUUGGUGCAAUGUGUCAGUCCUAUAUACCCCUUUGUAUUCUUGGUACCAUAUGUUUGGAGCUGAAUGUUAGCAUUCAGGGGUACAUCACUAACUUUGUUCCGAAUUAUGUUACUGACAAUAUGCAUUGUCCACUCACUCUGUAUGCCUUUUGUUGAUCCUUAUCAGCCUGUUGUAGUGCAGUUAUGUUUUUCUUUUAAAACAGAGUAAUCUUUUACUCAUUCAUCCUAAUUGUUGGUGGUUUCUUAACAGAUGUCUGCAGCUCUUUAAAUGUACCAGAGCGUGCAAUCUUUAUAUAUUUUACUGGGAGAACUGAUAUAGAUGCUGACCAACAAAUAAAUUCCAUUUGAGUUUGCAAAAGUCCCAACUCUCCGGCUGGAGGAACUGAAGAACAAUCAGAUUUUCGUAGCCACAACAAGAUAUA